This 1656-nucleotide long non-coding RNA is filed under the name Notechis scutatus (mainland tiger snake). Its description in RNAcentral is "lncRNA (ENSNSUG00000002893.1)". Lineage: Eukaryota; Metazoa; Chordata; Lepidosauria; Squamata; Elapidae. The record is from RNAcentral.
AAGAAAUGACAGAUACAUGGAUCUGACAAGUGCACUUCCAGCUCCCAGAGUUCAUUCCCUCCAGCCGCUUAGGGUGGUUUUGGAAUUCUGGGCUCUGAAGUCCACAUACCUUAAAGCUGCUUAGUUUGGGAAAACCAACCAAUCACUGUUUUAGAUUCGAAGGAAAACCCGACCGCCCGAUUUUCAGUCUUUCUAAGCACGCAGAUCGCACCGUGCAAACCUUUUUAAUGCCCUCGCCUGGAAAGCCAUCCUCACACAACCUCUCGGCCAGGGGGGGAGAUCUACCGGUCCGGUUCGGUUCUAUAGAACAGGUAGCUCCGAAGAGCAGCUGACACCGAACCGGUUUGCUGGGACAAGGUUUUGGUCUGCUGUUUGGCCCACCCCGCCAUCUAGGUUGCGUUUUUCCCCCUCAGCUACUUUGCGCAGCUGAGUGCUGCUCGUCAGCUGGAGCCGGUAGUGUAUGCGCUCCCCAAACCAGUUAAUGCCGGUCGGAUCCCAGCCCUGCUCUCGACAUAGCUUGAAAUGGGCGACUGCACCCACAUUUGGGUUCACUCUUUGGAUGUAGCGAAACCGUGUGUGUGUGAGAGAGAAUGAACCAUAGAGGAGCCUCUGGGGGUGUUUGGGCCUUUGCUUGCUGCUCUGUCCACACCCACUUCCGCCCCGUUGACAAGGGACGGACGGAUCUUGUUUUUUGGGAGGGGGAGCGGGGGACACUCUCGGGCAAUUUAAAGUGCGCACCCUCAUUGCUCACGCUUUCCCGAGUGGCUCGGCCCGGGGAUGUAUGUGCCGCAGGUAACCGAGCCCACCGUGGGGUGCUUCCGAGAGGGCCGCCUGAGUGUCGCCUGCCUCACGGGUGGGGUGGAGGCCCGGCUUCGACUUGAACCCUGCUGCCUUUCCUUCCUUAUAGGUGGCGAUCGCGGCCGGGGGGGCCCUAGCGGCAUGAGAGGAGGCCGAGGUGGGCUGAUGGACCGCGGUGGGCCCGGAGGGAUGUUUCGCGGCGGCCGUGGUGGAGACCGAGGCGGGUUCCGAGGAGGCCGUGGCAUGGACCGAGGGGGCUUCGGAGGGGGCCGGCGAGGAGGCCCCGGGGGCCCGCCUGGACCUCUUAUGGAGCAGCUAGGAGGCCGAGGCAGCAGGCGCGGAGGACCAGGGAAGAUGGACAAGGGGGAGCACCGUCAGGACCGCAGAGACCGGCCCUAUUAAGCGGCCAGGGACUCUUCCCCCUCUUUUUUUCCCUGCUGGACUGCAUUUACUACCAGAUUUAUUUUUUAAACCAGAAAAAUGUUUUAAAUUUAUAAUUCCAUAUUUAUAAUGUUGGCUCCAACAUUAUGAUGAUUCCUUGUCUGUACUUAGUAUUUUUCACUGUUUGUGGAGAAACAUUAAAACAAAAGUUAAAUGGGAGCGUGCCGAGUUAUUCUUUAUUCUUUUCCCUUUAUAAACAAAAACAAAAAGCCACAACAAAAAGAAAUGUGGUGGUUUAAUUAAAAACUCAUUUUUUGUUUGUUUUUUUAAAGCAAAGUUGUCAUGAGCAUGCCCAGUUAAAAUUGUUUUUGGAGGUGUCAGGAGGAUGGAAAUUUAAUGUAACCAAUGUUCGCGGUUGUGAUGUUUUCAUUUUCAUUUUUAUUUUCUUAAAUAAACUUCCAUAUGUUUGUAAAUGCA